This is a long non-coding RNA of Neopsephotus bourkii (Bourke's parrot), 666 nucleotides long. RefSeq lists it as uncharacterized. The record is from RefSeq and is a predicted model, not a curated record. NCBI's taxonomy places the organism in Eukaryota, Metazoa, Chordata, Aves, Psittaciformes, Psittacidae. The transcript has 2 exons.
CUGUGUCUGGGGGAAUUUGAAUACCCAGGCACUGACCUACAAUAAUAUUUUCACCCCUUAGGUGAAAGUAACUCAAAAAGUAUGUAAGUGAUGUGCAAAAGUGGAACAAUUCUACCUGAAACGACUAGGAACAGAGACCCCAAGAGAUCCUGUGACAUGACCAAGAAGGCCUCUUCAGAAAGGUGAUGCGGGCCCAGAAUUACAUCACCAGCAGAGCAGCCAAGAGCAUCUUGGUGCCAGGAUGACCAAAGCCGAGAGGAAUGUAUUAUCACAGACCUCCGCGGGACUUGCCAGUGCAUUCCUUGCUGGGGGUGCUGCGAUGGGGGAGUCCGAGAGGAGACAAUUUUGCUCAAAGACUGAAAGGAAACUUUGUGGAGGAAAGAUCUGGGGUCACAGUCCUGCUGUCUCCUCUAAGCAGAUCUAAUUAUGGCCAUGUACUUCAAAAAGAGGGUUUAACUAAAACCAGAUUUAGCAGGGCACUGCUUAGGAAGUACAGACUGAAUCCCCAGCCUUGCCUUUGAGGAAAUGUGAAAUGCUUCAGUGCACUGGGAACGCUGUCACUGUGGUUGUAAAGAAUAAUUUGAAGCAAGGAAAGAGCCAAUUUUAAAUCCUCAUCACUUCAUUGAAUAAAGUCUUACAAUAAGACGUGACUAAACAUAAUAUCAA